UAAAAAGAUUGCCAUCAGUGACAUUU
RNAcentral lists this non-coding RNA (26 nucleotides) under Mus musculus (house mouse). Lineage: Eukaryota; Metazoa; Chordata; Mammalia; Rodentia; Muridae. The record is from RNAcentral.